ACCACACCAAGUAUGUUUUUUCUCAUAAAUCAUGACAUGUUAAGUACACAAGAAACUUUAACAAGGGUGAUUUCAAAGGAAAUGUGUAACUUCAUCUCUUCCAGUUGUUACAAUGUUUCAGGUUUAGGUCCAAUACAAGCCAACCAGACUAAAACCUGUUUCUUGUAUGCAGAUAAGUUGAGCUAGUUCAACAGUCAGGUUUAGGUCCAAUACAAGCCAACCAGACUAAGACCUGCUUCUUGUAUGCAGAUAAGUUGAGCUAGUUCAACAGUCAGGUUUAGGUCCAAUACAAGCCAACCAGACUAAGACCUGCUUCUUGUAUGCAGAUAAGUUGAGCUAGUUCAACAGUCAGCAUGUCCUGAUAAGAUUCAAACAUAUUCUUAAACAAUAAAAAUAAACAGUAAAGAAAAAACACUAAUACUGCCAUAAAUUCUUAAUUUGUCUUAAAAUAUUACACAUACUUUAACAGAACACUUCUGAUGAUGUGAGCAAGAUAGAAACGAACAGUGCUCGUAUUCCUAUAUGUGACCGUGUUUCUAAACGUUCUCUAUCUCAACACAUACAUCAGUAUGUUUGAAAGUAACUUCAUUACACAUUCCCAUCUUCAGUAUUCAUUUGAAGUUAUUAUAUUGCACAAAAUCAAACGACAAUCG
Long non-coding RNA from Haliotis rubra (blacklip abalone), 653 nucleotides. RefSeq lists it as uncharacterized. NCBI's taxonomy places the organism in Eukaryota, Metazoa, Mollusca, Gastropoda, Lepetellida, Haliotidae. The record is from RefSeq and is a predicted model, not a curated record. The transcript is spliced from 3 exons.